GACGAACGCUGGCGGCGUGCUUAACACAUGCAAGUCGAACGAGACGAUUGAAAGCUUGCUUUUGAAAGUCGAGUGGCAAACGGGUGAGUAACGCGUAGGCAACCUGCCUCUAGGAUGGGGACAACAGUCCGAAAGGACUGCUAAUACCGAAUGUUGUAUCAAUUCCGCAUGGAGUUGGUAUGAAAGAUGGCCUCUACUUGUAAGCUAUCGCUUUGCGAUGGGUCUGCGUCUGAUUAGCUAGUUGGUGGGGCAACGGCCUACCAAGGCGACGAUCAGUAGCCGGUCUGAGAGGAUGAACGGCCACAUUGGAACUGAGACACGGUCCAGACUCCUACGGGAGGCAGCAGUGGGGAAUAUUGCACAAUGGGGGGGAACCCUGAUGCAGCGACGCCGCGUGGAGGAAGAAGGUCUUCGGAUUGUAAACUCCUGUCGUUGAGGACGAUAAUGACGGUACUCAACAAGAAAGCCACGGCUAACUACGUGCCAGCAGCCG
This 493-nucleotide ribosomal RNA is filed under the name uncultured bacterium. Its description in RNAcentral is "bacterial SSU rRNA". It matches the Rfam family "Bacterial small subunit ribosomal RNA", at positions 28 to 517 of the family's 1533-position model. The record is from RNAcentral.